GUCCCCAGGUCCACCCCUUGGCCUCUCCCUUUCAAGCUUAUCUAAUUUGCAUUGUCCCUUGUAUUCUUUCAUGCUCUCUGUGUCUCCGGUCAUAUGUAGCUUUUCUUUUUAGUGUUGGAUUUAGGCUUUCUAGGUUCACUUACAUCAGAAAUACAUGUACAUUUUCUUGAAGUCUUGUGUGUUGCUUAAUAAACUGUUAAAUUUCAGUGAUUUUGGUAUGCUUUGCAAAUUUCUUGGUGGAAAUUUGUUUUCUUGUUUAAUGGAUUUUUGGUUUGUAAAAAAAAAAGCUACAUAUGACC
This 299-nucleotide unclassified non-coding RNA is filed under the name Hevea brasiliensis (rubber tree). The record is from RNAcentral. Lineage: Eukaryota; Viridiplantae; Streptophyta; Magnoliopsida; Malpighiales; Euphorbiaceae.